This 340-nucleotide ribosomal RNA is filed under the name uncultured eukaryote. RNAcentral's name for it is "SSU rRNA". It matches the Rfam family "Eukaryotic small subunit ribosomal RNA", at positions 595 to 945 of the family's 1831-position model. The record is from RNAcentral.
UAGCGUAUAUUAAAGUUGUUGCAGUUAAAAAGCUCGUAGUUGGAUUUCUGGAAGGGCUCUAAUGUCCGCUUGUUGCGUGUGCAGCGGAGCCCUUCCAUCCUUCUGUUAACGUUUCUUGGCAUUCAUUUGCUGGUUGCGGGCUCAGAUAUUUUACCUUGAGAAAAUUAGAGUGUUUCAGGCAGGCUUGCGCCCGAAUACAUUAGCAUGGAAUAAUAGAAUAGGACUUUGGUCUCCUUUGUUGGUUUGAGGGACUAGAGUAAUGAUUAAUAGGGACAGUUGGGGGCAUUAGUAUUUAAUUGUCAGAGGUGAAAUUCUCGGAUUUGUUAAAGACUAACUUAUG